CCAGCCGUAAACAAUGUGCGUUAGGUCUGUCGGUAACCACGUGUUACUGAUGAGCCGAAGAGAAAUCGUGAAACGCACCACCUGGGAAGUACGGUCGCAAGGCUGAAACUUAAAGGAAUU
RNAcentral lists this ribosomal RNA (120 nucleotides) under uncultured bacterium. RNAcentral's name for it is "partial 16S ribosomal RNA". It matches the Rfam family "Archaeal small subunit ribosomal RNA", at positions 747 to 866 of the family's 1478-position model. The record is from RNAcentral.